UCUAGAAGAUGGCACCUCCAAUGAUGGGUUGCUGCCACAACAAGGAAGGGUUCAUGAAAGACAUCUGGUUGAAUGGCAGCAAUUGUUGUUGCUGUAGGAAGGUGGCCGCCAAUGGGUUAGCCAGUGCCAAUGGGUUAACCUGUAGCAGCUGUUGUUGCUGGUGGUAGGUGGCAGCGGUUGCAACAGCCGACUGAGCAAAUGGAAGUGACUGUGGCUGUUGUAGGUAUGCAGCGGCGUUCGACACAGCUAGUUGGUUGAAUGGAAGUAGCUGUUGCUGUUGAAAGUAGGCGAUAGGGUUCACCACGGACUGUUGUAACUGUUGUUGUUGUUGUAGGUAUGCAAUGGCAUUCACCGCAGCCAGUGGGUUUGUAGGAAGUAGCUGUUGCAGCUGCAAGUAGGUGGCAGGGUUUGGAAUAGCUAGUUGACUGAGCGCUGGUAGGAACUGUUGUUGUUGUAGUUGCGCUACAAUGGUCUGUACUAGUAGGUGAGCCGAGGAUUGCUGUUGCAAUUGGGCAAUUGAUUGUUGUAAGAUGCUCGCCGCGAGCACUUGUUGUAGCCGAUAGGCCUGCACAACUGGGUGUUCAUACCCAACAGCAGUAACUGGUGAGCACUGCGGAAUGAUGAACGCACUUGUAGCACUCACCGUGAGAGCAAGGAGUGCAAGGAGGGCAAAUAUCUUGGCAGCCAUUGUUUCUAAGAUGUUGCUAGUGCGUUUCACUUGGCAACUUUCUAAUUGCUCUCAAUGAUAUGGGUGGUGGAUUAGCUAUCGAUUUGGGCCAAUUUAUACAAGUGAGAGUUCAUGCAUAUCUAUUCAGAUCUCGGAGUUUACUAAAAAAUAGAUGAGCAUGAGAUGACAUGGCACCUAGUCAACUUCGGUGCUUAGUUAUCUAUUUUGUUGGAUUAUAUGGUAUGUGUUGGCAAGAUAGUGUCGAUUAUGUGCUAGGAAAAAGUGCCCUUUUCUAUAGGAGUUCUCUAGAUACACGAGGAAUGGCAUACAUGAUAACUUCACCUUUAUGCAUGACAAAGCCUUAGCCACAUCAUAUUUGUUAGACUUUAUAAACAUGAUGAGUAUGUAAAAUUAUGAUUUGCUCAUGUGAAUCGAAGCCUUUAUCAACAGAGUUUGUUGUAGCAUCGUCCUUAUGGUUGAAGUAUACAAUGUAAUUAUGUGAGAAGUUAUCAACCAGCGAAUGAUCAAUAAUGCUGCAAGGCCACGACUCAUUGAAGUCUCAGUAUGUCUAAAAUGCAUGCGCAUGCAAAGAAUCUAAAAAAUUGGCAUGCGCAUGCUCAUUACUAUCUUGGCCACUACCACAUACUCCCUUUGUUCUGGAGCACAAUUUAGUUUAUUUUUGUGUAAAAGCAAGCUUGUCUAACUUUGAAAAAGUUUUACAUUAGUUUUAACAACAAAAAUGCACUAUCAAGACAUAAUGACAUAUGCAACGAAACAAAGUGAUGUUCAAGGUUUUUGGUAAAUUUCUAUGAAAUAUGUCAAAGUUAGGUAAGAUUACCUUAGGGAAAAGAUAGAGCAAGUAAUAAAUUGGAGCGGAGGAGGUAUAUGUUGAACUCUACCUCUUGACUCAAAUAGAUGUGCAUCUAAUUUUCACUAAAGUCAAACUUAAAUUAUUUCCAUAUAGUAAGGAGAAUGAUAAAUUUGAUGCGGCUUUUGUUCCUUCCACCACCUAUGAUAUGAAUCUGCCUUCAAUAUACAGGUGAAGAGGAUAAUAGCCAACCUCGUAGCUAUUCGAAACAAAUAUCUCUUUGUGCUCAAAGGCAUAGAUCCAUUCAAGAAUAAAAACAACAUGGCCAUUGACAUAAACCUUGCUCAGCUAUGCUACAAAAACUCAAGAUAAAGGAGACUGAGAUGGGUGUUGUGUUGAUUUUUUAGGAGAAACACUAUAACAUCUGGACUUGGAAGUUUCAUGAAAACACACUCCUUCAUAUUCGUUUUCACUAGAACAAUGAGCACAUUGGUACACAUAAUUAAUUCCUUGGAGUUGACUCAAAUAUAUUUUAGAUUUUGUUUCACAUGAGUAGAAUCUCGUCCGAAAGAAUUUGGGGAACAUUGGGAUAAUAACCGUAAUCGCUAGGACUAGACAACAAGUUUAGGCUAAGGAAAUCUAAAAUGGCUGAAGACAUUUAAAAAUAAUAACUUCUAUUGACACAAAAUUAGAGUGAGACCAAUAAAAUCUUCAUGGCUUGAUUUACUAUUCCUUGUUCAUUUAUAAAGGAAUGUAUUUCAUGUUUCUACAAUAAUUUGCUUUAUGGGUGCUCACAUAGAUAUGAUAAGAUAUCUUUUCAACUUUUAUAUGACAUGCGAGUUAAGGUUACAUUGAUGACAGUGUUACAAACUACCUCUAGUAAACUAUCUUGUAGGUAAUAAACUUGUUCAUUUGUUUAGUUUUAACAUUUUAGAACAUGAACGUUUUCACAUUCAACACAUAGAUGCAAACUGCAAUCCAUUGAACUAAUCUAGGUGUCAUAAUGGCACUCUAUGUGGGUUCUCUCUGCAGAACAGCAGAAUGACGGUGGAUGGUUGGUACUUUAAUCUCGGGACAUUACUUUUGGGUUUUGAUAGCUCCACUCUAAAUCAUAUUUUACUAGGUACGGUGUCCAUCAGAAAAGAUCCUAUCUUUCAUAAUGCUACCUAGCAAAAAUGUGAGCUACAAUGUUGAGCAGUCAAUUUGACGUAGGUUUGAUGUCCCUCUGUAAAAUUGUCUCUGGCAUAUUCUUGGGAUAUUAAACUUCACGUUCAUGAUAAUUUUUUUUGGCAUCAAGUAUUAUACUUUGUUGUUAAUUGUUAAUGAUAGGGUCUAGUUGAUUUAAUGCCCUUGGCCUUGUCAAGUUCGUGGGCUCCAAUUAUUUCCUUAUUUUUCUACAAUAUUAUGGAGUCUUGCAUAAUUUUGCUCCAAGAUAAAAACAUAUGCACCAAAUAUUUACUAGAAACAAUAAUUAAGAGGUGUGACUUUGCAUAUCAACUUUGCACGCAUAUAUACGUUUACUCAUGAAUUUCUAUUAUGUUUUCCUUUGUGUACAUGUAUCUGACUUCAAAGAUAUUCGUCAAAGCAUAUGUGGCCAUGACUUUCUUAAAACAAGAUAUUGUAGAUGCAAGUACUCAACUCCACGCAAGUACUCAACUCCACGCAAGUACUCAACUCCACGCACAUACAGUCACAUCUAUAUAUCUCACAAACACCCACACACAGUACCAAAUGAGAAAAUUCAAGGGGGUUGGCUGGCACAUCUUGAUAUUGACAAUGUAAUGUCGUAUUGUCUACGUAUUAAUCAAGCAUUUGGCUGUAAUUAUGGUUCAUUUUUUAAUUGAUUAUAUACAAAGAAGAAAAUUACGGAAUAGACUCAGAUAAAUCUCAAUCAAUGUAUUGAUUAUUUGUGAGAAGUUGCACACGCUGAUACAAGAACAUUGUUAUCAAGUACAACUCUUUUGUAUUCUAGAAGAUGGCACCUCCAACGAUGGGUUGCUGCCACAACAAGGAAGGGUUCUUAAAAGACAUCUGGUUGAAUGGCAGCAAUUGUUGUUGCUGCAGGAAGGCGGCAGCCAAUGGGUUAGCCAGUGCCAAUGGGUUAACCGGUAGCAGCUGCUGUUGCUGGUGGUAGGUGGCAGCGGUUGCAACAGCCGACUGGGCAAAUGGAAGCGGUUGUGGCUGUUGCAGGUAUGCAGCGGUGUUCGGCACAGCUAGUUGGUUGAAUGGAAGUAGCUGUUGCUGUUGUAAGUAGGCGGCAGGGUUUGCCACGACUAGUUGACUGAGCGCUGGCAGGAUCUGUUGUAACUGUUGUUGUUGUGGUAGGUAUGCAAUGGCAUUCGACGCAGCCAAUGGGUUUGUAGGAAGUAGUUGUUGCAGCUGCAAGUAGGCGGUAGGGUUCGGAAUAGCUAGUUGACUGAGCACUGGUAGGAACUGUCGUUGUUGUCGUUGCGCUACAAUGGUCUGUUCUAGUAGGUGAGCCGAGGAUUGCUGUUGCAAUUGGGCAAUUGGUUGUUGUAAGAUGCUCGCCGCGAGCACCUGUUGUAGCCGAUAGGCCUGCACAACUGGGUGUUCAUACCCCGUAGCAGUAAUCGGUGAGCACUGCGGAAUGAUGAACGCAGUUGUAGCACUCACUAAGAGAGCAAGGAGUGCAAGGAGGGCAAAUAUCUUGGCAGCCAUUAUUUGCUAGUGCGUUUCACUUGGCUUGUUUCUGAUUGCUCUCAAUGAUAUGGGUUGUGGAUUAGAUAUUGAUUUGGUCCUAUUUAUAUAAGUGAGAGUUCAUGCAUAUCUAUUCAGAUCUCAGAGUUUACUAAAAAGCGGAUUAGCUUCAGAUGACAUGGCACCUAGUCAACUUCGGUGCUUAGUUAUCUAUUUUGUUGGAUUAUAUGGUAUGUGUUGGCAAGAUAGUGUCGACUAUGUGCUGUGAAAAAGUGCCCUUUUCUAUAGGAGUUCUCUAGAUACACGAGGAAUGACAUACAUGAUGACUUCACUUUUAAGCAUGACAAAGCCUUAGCCACAUCAUAUUUGUUAGACUUUAUAAACAUGAUAAGUAUGUAAAGUUAUGACUUGCUCAUGUGAAUCGAAGCCUUUAUCAAUAGACUUUGUUGUAGCAUCAUAGUUAUGGUUGAAGUAUACGUUGUAAUUAUGUGAGAAGUUGUCCAACAGCGAAUGAACAUUAAUGUUGCAAGGCCAUGGCUCAUUGAAGUCUCAGUACGUCCAAAAUGCAUGCACAUGCAAAGAAUGUAAAAAAUUUGCAUGCUCAUUACUAUCUUGGCCACUGCCACACACUCCCUUUGUUCUAGAGAACAAUUUAGUUUAUUUUUGUGUAAAAGCAAGCUUGUCUAACUUUGAAAUAGUUUUAAAUUUGUUUUAACAACAAAAAUGCACUAUCAAGACAUAUACAAUGAAGAAUUCAAUGAAACAAACUUGAUGUUCAAGGUUUUUGGUAAAUUUCUAUGAAAUAUGUCAAAGCUAGGUAAGUUUACCUUAGGGAAAAGCUAGAGCAAGUAAUAAAUUGGAGCGGAGGGGGUAUAUGUUGAACUCUACCUCUUGACUCAAAUAGAUGUGCAUCUAAUUUUCACUAAAGUCAAACUUAAAUUAUUUCCAUAUAGUAAGGAGAAUGAUAAAUUUGAUGCGGCUUUUGUUCCUUCCACCACCUAUGAUAUGAAUCUGCCUUCAAUAUACAGGUGAAGAGGAUAAUAGCCAACCUCGUAGCUAUUCGAAACAAAUAUCUCUUUGUGCUCAAAGGCAUAGAUCCAUUCAAGAAUAAAAACAACAUGGCCAUUGACAUAAACCUUGCUCAGCUAUGCUACAAAAACUCAAGAUAAAGGAGACUGAGAUGGGUGUUGUGUUGAUUUUUUAGGAGAAACACUAUAACAUCUGGACUUGGAAGUUUCAUGAAAACACACUCCUUCAUAUUCGUUUUCACUAGAACAAUGAGCACAUUGGUACACAUAAUUAAUUCCUUGGAGUUGACUCAAAUAUAUUUUAGAUUUUGUUUCACAUGAGUAGAAUCUCGUCCGAAAGAAUUUGGGGAACAUUGGGAUAAUAACCGUAAUCGCUAGGACUAGACAAUAAGUUUAGGCUAAGGAAAUCUAAAAUGGCUGAAGACAUUUAAAAAUAAUAACUUCUAUUGACACAAAAUUAGAGUGAGACCAAUAAAAUCUUCAUGGCUUGAUUUACUAUUCCUUGUUCAUUUAUAAAGGUAUAUAUUUCAUGAUACUACAAUAAUUUGCUCUAUGGGUGCUCACAUAAAUAUGAUAAGAUAUUUUUUCAACUUUUAUAUGACAUGCGAGUUAAGGUUACAUUGAUGAUAGUGUUACAAACUACCCCUAGUAAAUUAUCUUGUAGGUAAACUUGUUCAUUUGUUUAGUUUUAACAUUUUAGAACAUGAACGUUUUCACAUUCAACACUGUUGAUGGUGGUUAACGUCAACUUUCAUUAGAACUUUAAACCCAAAAGAAAACAUGAAAACACACCAGUCUAGGGUUUUAACUGACAAUUUCCACGAGUUUCGCAUAUUCUGUAUUUUCUAGGGUGAAUUUCAUGAAAGCCGAAAAGAGGGAUUCUAGUGCAAAAUAAACACGAAACUUAUCCACCACGGCAACAUCGCAAACGGGACGUGGGAAGACUCUGGAAGACACCCAAAGAGCCAGGGGGGCAGAGGCCGCCAGGUGGGGCCGGCCGGCCCCACCCUAGCGCCGGCCGGUGCCCUCUACAAGGGUUUCGGCCCCCCUUCUGGAAGCUUCCUCCAGGGCCUACGAUGAGUCAUCUUGGCCUUUGGUUAAAUCGGUUUGAUCCUGCGGCGCACGUCGAUCCAACCGGGAUAUAAAUAAAGUGGCAGACCCCCCUCCCUGAGGGCACCACAUUAUGGAGAUGUAGAGGCGUCCCUCGAAUGGAUGACCUCUCACCUCUAGAGAAUUAGGGCUAGACUUUCCAAUGUAGUAGAUUAGUUCUAGUUGAGAGUUAGCGAGAGCGGCGCUACGCCCGGGUUCUGGAGGAGUCUUCGGAGGAGUCAUCAGAGUUCUGGUAUAUCUUUGUAUCCUUGCUUUAAUAUAUUUUUUCUUCUCUAUUUACUUUUAUGCAUUACAUUUGAUUGGUUAGUAUAGUUGUUAUACUUUAGCAUAGGAUCUCCGCUCGCAUCGGGUGCUCUAAUUAUUAAUUGUGACUAGAGUAGUAGUUUGUAGUAGAGACAUGGUGUCUAGACUAUAGGUUACCUGAGAUUGCACCCAGUUCUACGGAUAGUUGUGGUAGCCCCAGGUGGUGACAGCCCUGACGGCCAACGUAUUCCACCACAUUUGGAUUGGUGUUGUAGGACCGUAGUCAGAUCAUCCUAGCCCCCUUCUCAUCUGUCUGUGGCUAAGUGCUCUGAUGUCCCGAAGUGUUAUUGUGUGAUUGCUUUACCUACCAUGAAUUAGUUAUUAUAGAACCCUAGUAAUAGAGAAGUAUUUGGGAACCUUAAACUCUCCCGUUGUUCUAUCACUUUAGCUAUCUACUCUUUUAUCAUAAGAAUUCUCGGGUGUGUGUCAUAUAUGCAUAAUUCCUAUCAUCGGUUACUUACCCCUACUUAAGUCUAGUUGGUGUAUUAGUUAGUAGAUACAUGAUGGUGAACUAUCAAUAUCUUUAUUCAUUGUUUCCCAGUGGUAAGAUAUAAAUAACGAUACCUGGAAUACUCCUAGUAAAAUGCUACAAUGGUUUUCUGCGCGCUUGCAGAAUCCUUCAUAUUUUAACUGUGCAUAAGAAAUACCAACAAACACCAAGAUGCAAACUGCAAUCCAUUGAACUAAUCUAGGUUUCAUAGUGGCACUCUAUGCGGGUUCUCUCUGUAGAACAGCGGUGGAUGGUUGGUACUUUAAUCUCAGGACAUUACUUUUGGGUUUUGAUAGCUCCACUCUAAAUCAUAUUUUACUGGGUACGGUGUCCAUCAGAAAAGAUCCCAUCUUUCAUAAUGCUACCUAGCAAAAAUGUGAGCUACAGUGUUGAGCAGUCAAUUUGACGCAGGUUUGGUGUCCCUCUGUAAAAUUGUCUCUGGCAUAUUCGUGGGAUAUUAAACUUCACGUUCAUGAUAAAUUAUUUUGGCAUCAAGUUUAAUACUUUGUUGCUAAUUGUUAAUGAUAAGGUGUAGUGUAUUUAGUGCCCUUGGCCUUGUCAAGUUCGUGGGCUCCAAUUAUUUCCUUAUUUUUCUACAAUAUUAUGGCGUCUUGCACAAUUUUGCUCCAAGAUAAAAACAUAUGCACCAAAUAUUUACUAGAAACAAUAAUUAAGAGGUAUGACUUUGCAUAUCAACUUUGCACGCAUAUAUAUGUUUACUCAUGAAUUUCUAUUAUGCUUUCCUUUGUGUACAUGUAUCUGACUUCAAAGAUAAUGGUCAAAGCAUAUGUGGCCAUGAUUUUCUUAAAACAAGAUACUAUAGAUGCAAGUACUCAACUCCAUGCACAUACAGUCACAUCUAUAUAUCUCACAAACACCCACGCACAGAACCAAAUGAGAACAUUCAAGGUUUGGCUGGCACAUCUUGAUAUUGACAAUGUAAUGUCGUAUUGUGUACGUAUUAAUAAAGCAUUUGGCUGUAAUUAUGGUUCAUUUUUAAUUGAUUAUAUACAAAGAAGAAAAUUAUGGAAUAGACUCAGAUAAAUCUCAAUCAAUGUAUUGAUUAUUUCCGAGAAGUUGCACACGCUGAUACAAGAAUAUUGUUAUCAAGUACAACUCUUUUGUAUUCUAGAAGAUGGCACCUCCAACGAUGGGUUGCUGCCACAACAAGGAAGGGUUCUUAAAAGACAUCUGGUUGAAUGGCAGCAAUUGUUGUUGCUGCAGGAAGGCGGCAGCCAAUGGGUUAGCCAGUGCCAAUGGGUUAACCGGUAGCAGCUGCUGUUGCUGGUGGUAGGUGGCAGCGGUUGCAACAGCCGACUGGGCAAAUGGAAGCGGUUGUGGCUGUUGCAGGUAUGCAGCGGUGUUCGGCACAGCUAGUUGGUUGAAUGGAAGUAGCUGUUGCUGUUGUAAGUAGGCGGCAGGGUUUGCCACGACUAGUUGACUGAGCGCUGGCAGGAUCUGUUGUAACUGUUGUUGUUGUGGUAGGUAUGCAAUGGCAUUCGACGCAGCCAAUGGGUUUGUAGGAAGUAGUUGUUGCAGCUGCAAGUAGGCGGUAGGGUUUGGAAUAGCUAGUUGACUAAACGCUGGUAGGAACUGUUGUUGUUGUAGUUGCGCUACAAUGGUCUGUACUAGUAGUUGAGCCGAGGAUUGCUGUUGCAAUUGGACAAUUGGUUGUUGUAAGAUGCUCGCCGUGAGCACCUGUUGUUGCCGAUAGGCCUGCACAAUUGGGUGUUCAUACCCCGCAGCAGUAACCGGUGAGCACUGCGGAAUGAUGAACGCACUUGUAGCACUCACUAGGAGAGCAAGGAGUGCAAGGAGGGCAAAUAUCUUGGGAGCCAUUGUUUCUAUGAUGUUGCUAGUGCGUUUCACUUGGCUUGUUUCUGAUUGCUCUCAAU
RNAcentral lists this long non-coding RNA (8959 nucleotides) under Sorghum bicolor (sorghum). Its description in RNAcentral is "long non-coding RNA (SBIC_LNC009612)". Lineage: Eukaryota; Viridiplantae; Streptophyta; Magnoliopsida; Poales; Poaceae. The record is from RNAcentral.